CGAAACUGUAGUUUAAUUAAAAUAUUAGCAUUGGAAGCUAAAGAUUAGGUUUUAUUCCUGCAUUUCGA
Molecule: transfer RNA, 68 nt
Filed under: Inquisitor sp. MNHN IM 2013-18505
Lineage: Eukaryota; Metazoa; Mollusca; Gastropoda; Neogastropoda; Pseudomelatomidae
Description: tRNA-Pro
Rfam family: tRNA
About the family: Transfer RNA (tRNA) molecules are approximately 80 nucleotides in length. Their secondary structure includes four short double-helical elements and three loops (D, anti-codon, and T loops). Further hydrogen bonds mediate the characteristic L-shaped molecular structure. tRNAs have two regions of fundamental functional importance: the anti-codon, which is responsible for specific mRNA codon recognition, and the 3' end, to which the tRNAs corresponding amino acid is attached (by aminoacyl-tRNA synthetases). tRNAs cope with the degeneracy of the genetic code in two manners: having more than one tRNA (with a specific anti-codon) for a particular amino acid; and 'wobble' base-pairing, i.e. permitting non-standard base-pairing at the 3rd anti-codon position.
Source: RNAcentral